This 253-nucleotide ribosomal RNA is filed under the name uncultured bacterium. RNAcentral's name for it is "partial 16S ribosomal RNA". It matches the Rfam family "Bacterial small subunit ribosomal RNA", at positions 524 to 776 of the family's 1533-position model. The record is from RNAcentral.
UACGUAGGGUGCAGGCGUUAAUCGGAAUUACUGGGCGUAAAGCGUGCGCAGGCGGUUUGCUAAGACAGGUGUGAAAUCCCCGGGCUUAACCUGGGAACUGCGCUUGUAACUGGCAAGCUUGAGUGUGGCAGAGGGGGGUGGAAUUCCGCGUGUAGCAGUGAAAUGCGUAGAUAUGCGGAGGAACACCGAUGGCGAAGGCAAUCCCCUGGGCCUGUACGGACGCUCAUGCACGAAAGCGUGGGGAGCAAACAGG